This 442-nucleotide ribosomal RNA is filed under the name uncultured bacterium. RNAcentral's name for it is "partial 16S ribosomal RNA". It matches the Rfam family "Bacterial small subunit ribosomal RNA", at positions 338 to 795 of the family's 1533-position model. The record is from RNAcentral.
CCUACGGGAGGCAGCAGUGGGGAAUAUUGGGCAAUGGGCGCAAGCCUGAUCCAGCAACGCCGCGUGAAGGAAGAAGGCUUUCGGGUUGUAAAGCCCUAUCGACAGGGAAGAGGAGAUGACGGUACCUGUCGAAUAAGCCACGGCUAAAUACGUGCCAGCAGCCGCGGUAAUACGUAGGUGGCAAGCGUUGUCCGGAUUUACUGGGUGUAAAGGGCGUGUAGGCGGGACGGCAAGUCUGAUGUGAAAGCCCGCGGCUCAACCGCGGGACUGCAUUUGAAACUACUGGGCUUGAGUGCCGGAGAGGCAGGCGGAAUUCCUAGUGUAGCGGUGAAAUGCGUAGAUAUUAGGAGGAACACCAGUGGCGAAGGCGGUCUACUGGACGGCGACUGACGGUGAGGCGCGAAAGCGUGGGGAGCAAACAGGAUUAGAUACCCUAGUAGUC